RNAcentral lists this ribosomal RNA (100 nucleotides) under Phycicoccus sp. The record is from RNAcentral. Lineage: Bacteria; Bacillati; Actinomycetota; Actinomycetes; Micrococcales; Intrasporangiaceae.
AGGGGAAACGCCCGGUCCCAUUCCGAACCCGGAAGCUAAGCCCUUCAGCGCCGAUGGUACUGCACUGGGAACGGUGUGGGAGAGUAGGACGCCGCCGGAC